RNAcentral lists this ribosomal RNA (460 nucleotides) under uncultured bacterium. Its description in RNAcentral is "partial 16S ribosomal RNA". It matches the Rfam family "Bacterial small subunit ribosomal RNA", at positions 338 to 795 of the family's 1533-position model. The record is from RNAcentral.
CCUACGGGCGGCAGCAGUGAGGAAUAUUGGUCAAUGGGCGCGAGCCUGAACCAGCCAAGUAGCGUGAAGGAUGACUGCCCUACGGGUUGUAAACUUCUUUUAUCAAGGAAUAAAGAGCGGCACGUGUGCCUUUUUGUGUGUACUUUAUGAAUAAGGAUCGGCUAACUCCGUGCCAGCAGCCGCGGUAAUACGGAGGAUCCGAGCGUUAUCCGGAUUUAUUGGGUUUAAAGGGAGCGCAGAUGGGUUGUUAAGUCAGUGGUGAAAGUUUGCGGCUCAACCGUAAAAUAGCAAUUGAUACUGGCAGCCUUGAGUACAGUAGAGGUAGGCGGAAUGCGUGGUGUAGCGGUGAAAUGCUUAGAUAUCACGAAGAACUCCGAUUGCGAAGGCAGCUUACUAACCUGCCACUGACAUUGAUGCUCGAAAGUGUGGGUAUCAAACAGGAUUAGAUACCCCAGUAGUC